Paramormyrops kingsleyae is the source of this 532-nucleotide long non-coding RNA. RefSeq lists it as uncharacterized. The record is from RefSeq and is a predicted model, not a curated record. Lineage: Eukaryota; Metazoa; Chordata; Actinopteri; Osteoglossiformes; Mormyridae.
UGUAAACCACACCCCUUGUCGCUACCAAUGUGCAAGUCUGGCAGGAGCAGCUGAUCGGCUGGAGGGAUAAAGGUUCACAUUGUGAUUUACUGGUUGAAAGUGGGGCUAUGACUGUUCAGUUAGUUGUCAGGUUUGUAAUGUGAACUACAUUGGCCAAUGAAAAAGACUGGGAGAUUGCUGCAAUCCAGCAAACGUAUCAUUGGCUAACUGAGGCUCCUGGCUAUGGUAAACUUGACAGCUGGUAAUAAUUUCUCUGAGGGAGGUGAAUCAGGGAGAACCAGGAGGGGGGCGGUGGUGAUCCAUAGCCAUGCUCCUGUGUUGGAACACUUUUCAGGACAACUGCACAUCAUUCCCUGAUGUCUGGGGGCUGUUCUCAAUUUGUAAGCUGCCAGUCUCAAGCACUAGAUCUACCUGUAAUGAGUGGGCGAUGCUGUCCUGCUACAGGCCAUCUGGCGGGCACCAGCGAGCGUCCACCAACGAUGUCGCCCGCAAUGUGCCGCCCAUCCCGGUGGCGACGCAAAGAAAGUGGAGG